AUACCAGUUCCUAAAGAAAUUAUGAAGAAAUAAGUGGAAUUUAUUUUUGAUGCUAAUUUUCAUUGUUAUCUCCCUUUUAAAAAUGUUCACUGCGCUAUUAGGGCAUCUUCCCCUCGAGUCCUCUCUCUCUCUACAGUGCCAGAAGGCAUUUCUGUAGUGCUCCUGUACUCAGUGCCAUUUUCCUUUUGUUCUGCCUUCUAAAAUUCAAACGUGCUAAAAUAAGCAGCUCCCAGCAUUGUCUCUGAUUCAGAAAGGAUAUAAGCAGGGCAUCAUGCAAUACUGAGGGGAGAUGAAAGAUUCAAGGUAGCCUAUAGAUGAGUUAAAGACAGGAGGUGCAAUGCUGGCAGUGUUUAGGUCACCACCUCCCCCUGCCUCCCAUGCAAUGGACAACUGGAUAAUAAAUUAGCAUAGGAGGCUAACCUAGAUCCUUAUUCCGUCUUAGAUGCAGGUGAUUGUCCAAGAGUCAUCAGUGACAGAAGGAUUUACAGCUCUUUCCAGAGAUAUGUGUGCAGCAGCCGUGGUGCUUUGUCUACCAGCCAGACCAGCAGCCCAGGCAGCUGAGCCAGAGGAGCCAGGACUUCCUCAGCAGCUUCAGCAAGCCUGCUGCUUCCAGCAGCGCUGUGUAGGAAACGGUGACUGUGCUCCUUUUCUUGUCGGUUGUGAGUGCGUACUGCAUCAGAAGAAGUACAAAUGGCACCUGUCUAUUCCCAGGAAGUGGUUGAAGACUCCUGAUAAUUCAAGUAUCACAAAUAUGUUUGGGAUAAGCCACAAAAAUGCUGCUCUAAGGUCAAGACUACUGCUGGAGUGA
Long non-coding RNA from Struthio camelus australis, 808 nucleotides. NCBI's taxonomy places the organism in Eukaryota, Metazoa, Chordata, Aves, Struthioniformes, Struthionidae. The record is from Ensembl.